UUAAGCGACUAAGCGUACACGGUGGAUGCCCUGGCAGUCAGAGGCGAUGAAGGACGUGCUAAUCUGCGAUAAGCGUCGGUAAGGUGAUAUGAACCGUUAUAACCGGCGAUUUCCGAAUGGGGAAACCCAGUGUGUUUCGACACACUAUCAUUAACUGAAUCCAUAGGUUAAUGAGGCGAACCGGGGGAACUGAAACAUCUAAGUACCCCGAGGAAAAGAAAUCAACCGAGAUUCCCCCAGUAGCGGCGAGCGAACGGGGAGGAGCCCAGAGCCUGAAUCAGUGUGUGUGUUAGUGGAAGCGUCUGGAAAGGCGCGCGAUACAGGGUGACAGCCCCGUACACAAAAAUGCACAUGCUGUGAGCUCGAUGAGUAGGGCGGGACACGUGGUAUCCUGUCUGAAUAUGGGGGGACCAUCCUCCAAGGCUAAAUACUCCUGACUGACCGAUAGUGAACCAGUACCGUGAGGGAAAGGCGAAAAGAACCCCGGCGAGGGGAGUGAAAAAGAACCUGAAACCGUGUACGUACAAGCAGUGGGAGCCUCUUAAUGGGGUGACUGCGUACCUUUUGUAUAAUGGGUCAGCGACUUAUAUUCUGUAGCAAGGUUAACCGAAUAGGGGAGCCGAAGGGAAACCGAGUCUUAACUGGGCGUUAAGUUGCAGGGUAUAGACCCGAAACCCGGUGAUCUAGCCAUGGGCAGGUUGAAGGUUGGGUAACACUAACUGGAGGACCGAACCGACUAAUGUUGAAAAAUUAGCGGAUGACUUGUGGCUGGGGGUGAAAGGCCAAUCAAACCGGGAGAUAGCUGGUUCUCCCCGAAAGCUAUUUAGGUAGCGCCUCGUGAAUUCAUCUCCGGGGGUAGAGCACUGUUUCGGCAAGGGGGUCAUCCCGACUUACCAACCCGAUGCAAACUGCGAAUACCGGAGAAUGUUAUCACGGGAGACACACGGCGGGUGCUAACGUCCGUCGUGAAGAGGGAAACAACCCAGACCGCCAGCUAAGGUCCCAAAGUCAUGGUUAAGUGGGAAACGAUGUGGGAAGGCCCAGACAGCCAGGAUGUUGGCUUAGAAGCAGCCAUCAUUUAAAGAAAGCGUAAUAGCUCACUGGUCGAGUCGGCCUGCGCGGAAGAUGUAACGGGGCUAAACCAUGCACCGAAGCUGCGGCAGCGACACUAUGUGUUGUUGGGUAGGGGAGCGUUCUGUAAGCCUGUGAAGGUGGCCUGUGAGGGUUGCUGGAGGUAUCAGAAGUGCGAAUGCUGACAUAAGUAACGAUAAAGCGGGUGAAAAGCCCGCUCGCCGGAAGACCAAGGGUUCCUGUCCAACGUUAAUCGGGGCAGGGUGAGUCGACCCCUAAGGCGAGGCCGAAAGGCGUAGUCGAUGGGAAACAGGUUAAUAUUCCUGUACUUGGUGUUACUGCGAAGGGGGGACGGAGAAGGCUAUGUUGGCCGGGCGACGGUUGUCCCGGUUUAAGCGUGUAGGCUGGUUUUCCAGGCAAAUCCGGAAAAUCAAGGCUGAGGCGUGAUGACGAGGCACUACGGUGCUGAAGCAACAAAUGCCCUGCUUCCAGGAAAAGCCUCUAAGCAUCAGGUAACAUCAAAUCGUACCCCAAACCGACACAGGUGGUCAGGUAGAGAAUACCAAGGCGCUUGAGAGAACUCGGGUGAAGGAACUAGGCAAAAUGGUGCCGUAACUUCGGGAGAAGGCACGCUGAUAUGUAGGUGAAGCGACUUGCUCGUGGAGCUGAAAUCAGUCGAAGAUACCAGCUGGCUGCAACUGUUUAUUAAAAACACAGCACUGUGCAAACACGAAAGUGGACGUAUACGGUGUGACGCCUGCCCGGUGCCGGAAGGUUAAUUGAUGGGGUUAGCGGUAACGCGAAGCUCUUGAUCGAAGCCCCGGUAAACGGCGGCCGUAACUAUAACGGUCCUAAGGUAGCGAAAUUCCUUGUCGGGUAAGUUCCGACCUGCACGAAUGGCGUAAUGAUGGCCAGGCUGUCUCCACCCGAGACUCAGUGAAAUUGAACUCGCUGUGAAGAUGCAGUGUACCCGCGGCAAGACGGAAAGACCCCGUGAACCUUUACUAUAGCUUGACACUGAACAUUGAGCCUUGAUGUGUAGGAUAGGUGGGAGGCUUUGAAGUGUGGACGCCAGUCUGCAUGGAGCCGACCUUGAAAUACCACCCUUUAAUGUUUGAUGUUCUAACGUUGGCCCGUAAUCCGGGUUGCGGACAGUGUCUGGUGGGUAGUUUGACUGGGGCGGUCUCCUCCUAAAGAGUAACGGAGGAGCACGAAGGUUGGCUAAUCCUGGUCGGACAUCAGGAGGUUAGUGCAAUGGCAUAAGCCAGCUUGACUGCGAGCGUGACGGCGCGAGCAGGUGCGAAAGCAGGUCAUAGUGAUCCGGUGGUUCUGAAUGGAAGGGCCAUCGCUCAACGGAUAAAAGGUACUCCGGGGAUAACAGGCUGAUACCGCCCAAGAGUUCAUAUCGACGGCGGUGUUUGGCACCUCGAUGUCGGCUCAUCACAUCCUGGGGCUGAAGUAGGUCCCAAGGGUAUGGCUGUUCGCCAUUUAAAGUGGUACGCGAGCUGGGUUUAGAACGUCGUGAGACAGUUCGGUCCCUAUCUGCCGUGGGCGCUGGAGAACUGAGGGGGCUGCUCCUAGUACGAGAGGACCGGAGUGGACGCAUCACUGGUGUUCGGGUUGUCAUGCCAAUGGCACUGCCCGGUAGCUAAAUGCGGAAGAGAUAAGUGCUGAAAGCAUCUAAGCACGAAACUUGCCCCGAGAUGAGUUCUCCCUGAGACUUAGAGUCUCCUGAAGGAACGUUGAAGACGACGACGUUGAUAGGCCGGGUGUGUAAGCGCAGCGAUGCGUUGAGCUAACCGGUACUAAUGAACCGUGAGGCUUAACCU
Molecule: ribosomal RNA, 2900 nt
Filed under: Escherichia coli
Lineage: Bacteria; Pseudomonadati; Pseudomonadota; Gammaproteobacteria; Enterobacterales; Enterobacteriaceae
Description: 23S ribosomal RNA
Rfam family: Bacterial large subunit ribosomal RNA
Source: RNAcentral